RNAcentral lists this ribosomal RNA (473 nucleotides) under uncultured Glomus. Its description in RNAcentral is "SSU rRNA". It matches the Rfam family "Eukaryotic small subunit ribosomal RNA", at positions 623 to 1091 of the family's 1831-position model. Lineage: Eukaryota; Fungi; Glomeromycota; Glomeromycetes; Glomerales; Glomeraceae. The record is from RNAcentral.
AAAGCUCGUAGUUGAAUUUCGGGAUUGACGUGAUGUCAUGCCUUAAGGGGUAUGAACUGUUACUGUUGAUUUCUCACCUUCUGGAGAAACUUGAUGUCCUUUAUUGGGUGUCUUGCGGAUCCAGGACCUUUACCUUGAAAAAAUUAGAGUGUUUAAAGCAGGCAUUUUUGCUCGAAUACAUUAGCAUGGAAUAAUAGAAUAGGACGGCAUGGUUCUAUUUUGUUGGUUUCUAGGAUCACCGUAAUGAUUAAUAGGGAUAGUUGGGGGCAUUAGUAUUCAAUUGUCAGAGGUGAAAUUCUUGGAUUUAUUGAAGACUAACUACUGCGAAAGCAUUUGCCAAGGAUGUUUUCAUUAAUCAAGAACGAAAGUUAGGGGAUCGAAGACGAUCAGAUACCGUCGUAGUCUUAACCAUAAACUAUGCCGACUAGGAAUCAGACGAUGUUAAUUUUUUAAUGACUCGUUCGGCACCUUAC